GACGAACGCUGGCGGCGUGCUUAACACAUGCAAGUCGAACGGAAAGGCCCUGCUUUUGUGGGGUGCUCGAGUGGCGAACGGGUGAGUAACACGUGAGUAACCUGCCCUUGACUUUGGGAUAACUUCAGGAAACUGGGGCUAAUACCGGAUAGGAGCUCCUGCUGCAUGGUGGGGGUUGGAAAGUUUCGGCGGUUGGGGAUGGACUCGCGGCUUAUCAGCUUGUUGGUGAGGUAGUGGCUUACCAAGGCUUUGACGGGUAGCCGGCCUGAGAGGGUGACCGGCCACAUUGCGCCUGAGAUACGGCCCAGACUCCUACGGGAGGCAGCAGUGGGGAAUAUUGCACAACGGGCGGAAGCCUGAUGCAGCAACGCCGCGUGCGGGAUGACGGCCUUCGGGUUGUAAACCGCUUUCGCCUGUGACGAAGCGUGAGUGACGGUAAUGGGUAAAGAAGCACCGGCUAACUACGUG
This 468-nucleotide ribosomal RNA is filed under the name uncultured bacterium. RNAcentral describes it as "partial 16S ribosomal RNA". It matches the Rfam family "Bacterial small subunit ribosomal RNA", at positions 28 to 507 of the family's 1533-position model. The record is from RNAcentral.